Molecule: ribosomal RNA, 253 nt
Filed under: uncultured bacterium
Lineage: Bacteria
Description: partial 16S ribosomal RNA
Rfam family: Bacterial small subunit ribosomal RNA
Source: RNAcentral
UACGUAGGCAGCAAGCGUUGUUCGGAGUUACUGGGCGUAAAGAGUAUGUAGGCGGUUGCGUAAGUUCGGUGUGAAAUCUCCCGGCUUAACUGGGAGGGUGCGCCGAAAACUGCGUGGCUUGAGUGCGGGAGAGGUGAGCGGAAUUCCUGGUGUAGCGGUGAAAUGCGUAGAUAUCAGGAGGAACACCGGCGGUGUAGACGGCUCUCUGGACCGUAACUGACGCUGAGAUACGAAAGCGUGGGUAGCAAACAGG